Lagopus leucura (white-tailed ptarmigan) is the source of this 339-nucleotide long non-coding RNA. RefSeq lists it as uncharacterized. The record is from RefSeq and is a predicted model, not a curated record. The transcript is spliced from 3 exons. Lineage: Eukaryota; Metazoa; Chordata; Aves; Galliformes; Phasianidae.
UUAGGAGCAGCCCACCCAACACCAUGCCCUGCUGGGGAGUACCAGCCAGCCAGGGGCUCUGCAUCCUGCAUUCCAUGCCAGAGAGGAUUCUACUGCCAGGAGCUGGUGGCUGGAGACCCCAAGAGCUGCCCACCACAUACUUACUGUCCUACAGGCACACAGUUUCCUCAGACGUGUCCUGAAGGCACCUUUACUCCUCCAAAUACGACUGGCCUCUGGAAUGAGAAGCAAUGCCUGCCUUGUUUACCUGGUCACUACUGCAGGCGUGGACAGCUAGUGGGGAAAUGUGCUGCUGGAUACUUCUGCCUUGCUGGGAGCUCUCAGCCCACUCCACAGGGC